GCGUGAAUGAUGAAGGUCUUAGGAUUGUAAAAUUCUUUCACCGGGGACGAUAAUGACGGUACCCGGAGAAGAAGCCCCGGCUAACUUCGUGCCAGCAGCCGCGGUAAUACGAAGGGGGCUAGCGUUGCUCGGAAUUACUGGGCGUAAAGGGCGCGUAGGCGGAUCGUUAAGUUAGAGGUGAAAGCCCAGGGCUCAACCUUGGAACUGCCUUUGAUACUGGCGAUCUGGAGUACGGGAGAGGUGUGUGGAACUCCGAGUGUAGAGGUGAAAUUCGU
This 275-nucleotide ribosomal RNA is filed under the name uncultured bacterium. Its description in RNAcentral is "partial 16S ribosomal RNA". It matches the Rfam family "Bacterial small subunit ribosomal RNA", at positions 399 to 691 of the family's 1533-position model. The record is from RNAcentral.